RNAcentral lists this ribosomal RNA (512 nucleotides) under Callirhytis clavula. RNAcentral's name for it is "eukaryotic LSU rRNA". It matches the Rfam family "Eukaryotic large subunit ribosomal RNA", at positions 666 to 1138 of the family's 3401-position model. Lineage: Eukaryota; Metazoa; Arthropoda; Insecta; Hymenoptera; Cynipidae. RNAcentral also lists the same sequence under 1 other name. The record is from RNAcentral.
CCAAGGAGUCUAACAUGUGCGCGAGUCAUUGGGACCGCAAAACCUAAAGGCGUAAUGAAAGUGAAGGUCGACCUUGCGUCGACUAAGGGAGGAUGGGUUGCGUCACGAUGCAGCCCCGCACUCCCGGGGCGUCUCGUACUCAUUGCGAGUAGAGGCGCACCCAGAGCGUACACGUUGGGACCCGAAAGAUGGUGAACUAUGCCUGGUCAGGACGAAGUCAGGGGAAACCCUGAUGGAGGUCCGUAGCGAUUCUGACGUGCAAAUCGAUCGUCGGAACUGGGUAUAGGGGCGAAAGACUAAUCGAACCAUCUAGUAGCUGGUUCCCUCCGAAGUUUCCCUCAGGAUAGCUGGCACUCGCGUGAGCGAGUCUCAUCUGGUAAAGCGAAUGAUUAGAGGCCUUGGGGCCGAAACGACCUCAACCUAUUCUCAAACUUUAAAUGGGUGAGAUCUCUGGCUUGCUUGAACAGUGAAGCCACGAGAUUUCGGAUCAGAGUGCCAAGUGGGCCAAUUUU